Molecule: ribosomal RNA, 564 nt
Filed under: uncultured Glomeromycotina
Lineage: Eukaryota; Fungi; Glomeromycota
Description: SSU rRNA
Rfam family: Eukaryotic small subunit ribosomal RNA
Source: RNAcentral
UUGGAGGGCAAGUCUGGUGCCAGCAGCCGCGGUAAUUCCAGCUCCAAUAGCGUAUAUUAAAGUUGCUGCAGUUAAAAAGCUCGUAGUUGAAUUUCGGGACCAAUAUGUCGGUCGUGCCUCGGUACGUACUGGCAUCGUUGGUUUCUCCCUUCUGACGAACCAUGAUGUCAUUCAUUUGGUGUCGUGGGGAAUCAGGACUGUUACUUUGAAAAAAUUAGAGUGUUUAAAGCAGGCUCACGCUUGAAUACAUUAGCAUGGAAUAAUGAAAUAGGACGUUUGAUUCUAUUUUGUUGGUUUCUAGGAUCGACGUAAUGAUUAAUAGGGAUAGUUGGGGGCAUUAGUAUUCAAUUGUCAGAGGUGAAAUUCUUAGAUUUAUUGAAGACUAACUACUGCGAAAGCAUUUGCCAAGGAUGUUUUCAUUAAUCAAGAACGAAAGUUAGGGGAUCGAAGACGAUCAGAUACCGUCGUAGUCUUAACCAUAAACUAUGCCGACUAGGGAUCGGAUGAUGUUAAUUUUUUAAUGACUCAUUCGGCGCCUUACGGGAAACCAAAGUGUUUGGGUUC